RNAcentral lists this transfer RNA (85 nucleotides) under Felis catus (domestic cat). It matches the Rfam family "tRNA". From Rfam's summary of the family: Transfer RNA (tRNA) molecules are approximately 80 nucleotides in length. Their secondary structure includes four short double-helical elements and three loops (D, anti-codon, and T loops). Lineage: Eukaryota; Metazoa; Chordata; Mammalia; Carnivora; Felidae. The record is from Rfam by way of RNAcentral.
GCCGGGGUGGCUCAGUCGGUUGAGCAUCUGACUUCAGCUCAGGUCAUGAUCUCACAGUUCGUGGGUUUGAGCCCCGCAUCGGGCU